This 279-nucleotide ribosomal RNA is filed under the name uncultured bacterium. RNAcentral's name for it is "partial 16S ribosomal RNA". It matches the Rfam family "Bacterial small subunit ribosomal RNA", at positions 506 to 784 of the family's 1533-position model. The record is from RNAcentral.
UGCCAGCAGCCGCGGUAACACGGGGGGCGCAAGCGUUAUUCGGAAUUAUUGGGCGUAAAGCGCGUGUAGGCGGUUCGUUAAGUCUGAUGUGAAAGCCCGGGGCUCAACCCCGGAAGUGCAUUGGAAACUGGCGAACUUGAGUACGGGAGAGGAAAGUGGAAUUCCGAGUGUAGGGGUGAAAUCCGUAGAUAUUCGGAGGAACACCAGUGGCGAAGGCGACUUCCUGGGCCGACACUGACGCUGAGGCGCGAAAGCGUGGGGAGCAAACAGGAUUAGAUA